GCUCUAAUGCAGCCAACGGAGGUCACAAGCCCUCGGAUAAUGCAGAGUGGAGC
RNAcentral lists this non-coding RNA (53 nucleotides) under unclassified sequences. The record is from RNAcentral.